CGAACGCUGGCGGCGUGCCUAAUACAUGCAAGUCGAACGCACUCUCGUUUAGAUUGAAGGGAGCUUUGCUCCUGAUUGAUAAACAUUUGAGUGAGUGGCGGACGGGUGAGUAACACGUGGGUAACCUGCCCUAAAGUGGGGGAUAACAUUUGGAAACAGAUGCUAAUACCGCAUAAAACCUAACACCGCAUGGUGUAGGGUUGAAAGAUGGUUUCGGUUAUCACUUUAGGAUGGACCCGCGGUGCAUUAGUUAGUUGGUGAGGUAAAGGCUCACCAAGACCGUGAUGCAUAGCCGACCUGAGAGGGUAAUCGGCCACACUGGGACUGAGACACGGCCCAGACUCCUACGGGAGGCAGCAGUGGGGAAUCUUCCACAAUGGACGAAAGUCUGAUGGAGCAACGCCGCGUGAGUGAAGAAGGUUUUCGGAUCGUAAAACUCUGUUGUUGGAGAAGAAUGUAUCUGAUAGUAACUGAUCAGGUAGUGACGGUAUCCAACCAGAAAGCCACGGCUAACUACGUG
RNAcentral lists this ribosomal RNA (520 nucleotides) under uncultured bacterium. Its description in RNAcentral is "bacterial SSU rRNA". It matches the Rfam family "Bacterial small subunit ribosomal RNA", at positions 30 to 507 of the family's 1533-position model. The record is from RNAcentral.